CCUACGUGAGGCUGCAGUGAGGAAUAUUGGUCAAUGGGCGGGAGCCUGAACCAGCCAAGUCGCGUGAAGGAAGAAGGUACUUAGUAUUGUAAACUUCUUUUGUCGGGGAACAAAGGCGGAGACGCGUCUCCGGAUGGGCGUACCCGACGAAAAAGCAUCGGCUAACUCCGUGCCAGCAGCCGCGGUAAUCCGGGGGAUGCGAGCGUUAUCCGGAUUUAUGGGGUUUAAAGGGUGCGAAGGCGGGAGAUCAAGUCAGCGUGAAAAGGUCGGGGCUCAACCCCGGCCGGCCUUUGAAACUGGUUGUCUAGAGUUGGAGAGAGGUAUGCGGAAUUCGUGGUGUAGCGGUGAAAUGCAUAGAUAUCACGAAGAACUCCGAUUGCGAAGGCAGAAUACCGGCUCCAUACUGACGCUGAGGCACGAAAGCGUGGGGAUCGAACAGGAUUAGAUACCCGAGUAGUC
Molecule: ribosomal RNA, 459 nt
Filed under: uncultured bacterium
Lineage: Bacteria
Description: partial 16S ribosomal RNA
Rfam family: Bacterial small subunit ribosomal RNA
Source: RNAcentral